This is a long non-coding RNA of Pan paniscus (pygmy chimpanzee), 605 nucleotides long. The record is from Ensembl. NCBI's taxonomy places the organism in Eukaryota, Metazoa, Chordata, Mammalia, Primates, Hominidae.
CUCUGGUGUCAUCAAGAAACAUGGUGGAGGGAGACAUGAAGACUUUAGAGGCAGGAACCACUGCAGAAAUAUCAGGAGAUGGGGAGACAGAGGAAAGAAAGGAGAGAUCUGUGGAUCCCGUGAGCACCCCAAAUUGGAACCACUCCUUACCGUGUCUCAAGGAAGCAACAGACCUCCAAACUGCAUGGUGUACCUCAAAAGAGCAAGACCCAAGCAAAAAGAAUGCUGCCCGAUUUCCUGACAUUAACAAUGAACACAGCCAGACUCAAGAGGAGGAAGCUACUGGGACCACGGCAGUCAAGGAAACACCAUCAACACCCAGUCUUCCUCCCACAUUACUCAGAGACUUUUAUCUUUGCCAUCCCUAAACACAUUCCUGCAGGUCUCCAGAUCCCUUCCAGCCCAUCUUAGAUAAAACUGUGCAGGAAAAAUGUGCUUCUAAUAUAGAGGUUUCCAUUUGGACACCUUGUAUUUGAAUCACAACUCAAACUUUUUUAAUGCCACCCUCUGUUUCCCUACUGGAUCUUAAAGACAAUUGGCACUGAAGCAUAAUAAAAUAAUCAAUUAUGUCUCAUCUAUGCUAUGCUAUUUGAGAGCAUUUCCCU